CAGAGACCUCAAGCGUUAUCCGGAAUCAUUGGGCGUAAAGCGUACCGAUAGGUGGUUUUGGUAGUUUUGGGUAAAAGCCAGAAGCUCAACUUCUGCGUUUGCUCAAAAUACUCCAAGACUAGAGGGACAAAGAGGUUGCUGGAACGAACGGUGUAGUAGUGAAAUGCGUUGAUAUCGUUCGGAACACCGAAAGCGAAGGCAGGCAACUGGGUGUCACCUGACACUGCUAGGACGAAAGCGUGGGGAGCGAAUGGGAUUAGAUACCCCAGUAGUCCACGCUGUAAACGAUGAGUGCCAGGUAUUUGCGAGUAUCGACCCUCGUAUGUACCGUAGCUAACGCGUUAAGCACUCCGCCUGGGGAGUACGGCCGCAAGGCUA
This 378-nucleotide ribosomal RNA is filed under the name uncultured organism. Its description in RNAcentral is "bacterial SSU rRNA". It matches the Rfam family "Bacterial small subunit ribosomal RNA", at positions 526 to 896 of the family's 1533-position model. The record is from RNAcentral.